RNAcentral lists this long non-coding RNA (437 nucleotides) under Zostera marina. Its description in RNAcentral is "long non-coding RNA (ZMAR_LNC001837)". Lineage: Eukaryota; Viridiplantae; Streptophyta; Magnoliopsida; Alismatales; Zosteraceae. The record is from RNAcentral.
UUCCAUACCUAUAACCAAACAUACCAUUCCAAAACAUUCAAUAACCAAUAAAACAUAACAUUCCAUUCCAAAACGUACCAUUCAAUUAAUAAGAAACAAAACAUACCAUUCAUACAAUUCAUGUUAUUCAAAACUAAACCAAAAGAUAAAAGAAGAGGAACCUAUUUGUUGGUGUUUGUCACGCUAUUCGUCGCACUUUUACUCGGACUUUUACUCGGACUUUUACUCGGACUUUUACUUGGACUCAUGCCAAUAUUUUCGACAUUUGAAUCUCUUGUAAUAGGCGUGAUUAUGGUGUUGUGUCCUUGGCUCGACUGACUCUAAUGUAAAAAAAAAUUGAAAUUACAAAGAAAAUAUGAAUAUUGAUUUAUAUAUAAAUGCUAAUUACCUCAAUCGUCUCUCGACGUAAGUCUUCCCUUAGUUCCUUUAGUAUAUCC